GGGAAAAGAGAAGCCAGGCUUGUGCUCGUAGCUGCGGAGCUGAAAUGGAGCGCAAAAGCCAGCCAGUCCAACCUCAUUUUACAGAUGGGCGAACCAUCUGUGUAUCUAUCUGCACACAUAUACAUCCGUCAUUAAGUGGUUAUUGAUUGUAGUCGUGCAGUUCUGUAAUUAUAUAUAGGUAAUCCCUCCAGUGGUGAAGAUCACACAACCCAUCCAUGCCUUCUCAUCCUAUUCAACACAUCCUCCCACAAAUCUUUUGCAGGGGACUCUACUCAACCUGCUGGGAACUCUUUUCUAAAAGGACCUCUACUAGGGAAAUGCAUUUGAGCCAUUCUCAGGGGAUACUCCUGUGUCAGAGUAACCCAGCCCUGACUCUUGGAAGUGAUUGGGUUCUUACUACAUGCAGAAAGAAUUUGAAGAGACCUCACCCUUAAGGAGUGGGGCAAGACAUGUCUAAAGGAUGAAGAAACCGAGGCCCAUGGAGGAAGUGACUAACCCAAGGUCCUACAUUUGAUGGCGAAAGCCAUAAAAGCUACAUGACCUCUAAGGCAAAUAAGACCAAAUGCUAGCUGAAAACAAAAGGUGAAUGGACAAGCUUCAUAAUAUAGUCUUAACAACUCACCUGGGUAGGAUAGGACAUCCUGGGGCUAAUGCCAUGGAAUCCUCCGAGGAGAGACAAGUGCUAAUUGCCUUGAAGCCCAGUGAAGAAAUCUGGUGGAGCAGAAAGAGGACUUUUCAUGUGCAUGGAGCCUGAACAAGGAUAAUACUUUUCAAAGCAAAAGGCAUAGAAAUUGGUAUGAGGAAUGGAGGAGGCUUAACAAGGAGGCAGUGACUGCACUGGAAGUCAUUACCCUCUAGGUCUCAUCUUUAUCGCCUACAAAAUGGCAGUAGUAAGAGCAGGGGAGGCAGUUGGACUGGAUUACCGCUGAGGUUCAAUCAGGAGGCCCUUAUCCAGAGACAAAGGGAGGAAGCAGGUUCUAGAAGGGACAGGGAGUCCUAAGAUUCUUUUGACCUAAAUGUAUCUUGACUUAGGAGCCUGAAACCUGGGCCUAGUGUGCAACCCAGAUGGGGGCAAAGAACAAAGUGAAUAAAGGGGAGCUUAGAAUGA
This is a long non-coding RNA of Vombatus ursinus (common wombat), 1108 nucleotides long. RefSeq lists it as uncharacterized. The record is from RefSeq and is a predicted model, not a curated record. Lineage: Eukaryota; Metazoa; Chordata; Mammalia; Diprotodontia; Vombatidae. The transcript has 4 exons.